This 460-nucleotide ribosomal RNA is filed under the name uncultured bacterium. Its description in RNAcentral is "partial 16S ribosomal RNA". It matches the Rfam family "Bacterial small subunit ribosomal RNA", at positions 338 to 795 of the family's 1533-position model. The record is from RNAcentral.
CCUACGGGUGGCAGCAGUGAGGAAUAUUGGUCAAUGGCCGGAAGGCUGAACCAGCCAUGCCGCGUGAAGGGCAGGGCCCUAUGGGCGUUAAACUUCUUUUGUGCGGGAGCAAUAAUGGUCACGUGUGGCCAGACGAGAGUACCGUACGAAUAAGCAUCGGCUAACUCCGUGCCAGCAGCCGCGGUAAUACGGGGGAUGCAAGCGUUAUCCGGAUUUAUUGGGUUUAAAGGGUGCGUAGGCUGUGAGGUAAGUCAGGGGUGAAAUGCCCCCGCUCAACGGGGUGAAGUGCCAUUGAUACUGCCUGGCUGGAAUGCGGAUGCCGUGGGAGGAAUGUGUGGUGUAGCGGUGAAAUGCAUAGAUAUCACACAGAACACCGAUUGCGAAGGCAUCUCACGAAUCCGCGAUUGACGCUGAUGCACGAAAGCGUGGGUAUCAAACAGGAUUAGAUACCCCAGUAGUC